This 425-nucleotide unclassified non-coding RNA is filed under the name soil metagenome. Its description in RNAcentral is "partial contains 5.8S ribosomal RNA, internal transcribed spacer 2, and large subunit ribosomal RNA". The stretch from base 1 to 120 matches the Rfam family "5.8S ribosomal RNA", at positions 35 to 154 of the family's 154-position model. The record is from RNAcentral.
GAUGAAGAACGCAGCGAAAUGCGAUAAGUAGUGUGAAUUGCAGAAUUCCGUGAAUCAUCGAAUCUUUGAACGCACAUUGCGCCUUCUGGUAUUCCGGAAGGCAUGCCUGUUCGAGAGUCAUUAACAACCGUUUCGAUCCCUUUCUUUCAGAAAUUACAAAGAGGAAAAGGGUUUGGUUAUGGUGGAGGAGGGAAAGGGAGCGUUUAGCCUGUAAAAAAAGAGGCUGUGUUCCGCCUCCCCCCCAAAAUUGUACAGGCGGGCGUGUGCGCCCACGCAUCGAGGUGUUGUAAAAGCUGCCACGGCACUUUUCACCUGUGCAGUGCGAGAUUGGCCAGCCGGUUUAAAAACCCCUCCAAACAAUCAAAGGUUGACCUCGGAUCAGGUAGGGAUACCCGCUGAACUUAAGCAUAUCAAUAAGCGGAGGA